CCCCGCUCCUGGUCCUCGCGUGCUGGAGGCUCAGAGCAGCAGCUCGCAGUCGGACUCCCAGAUCCACAGCUGGCGCCCUGAGCAGUCGCUAAAUGAUGGGCUGUGUAUGGUCUUGCAGGCUGACUGAGGCUCCACACGGCUACCCCCGGAAGACCAAGAAAAGAGGAAGAUGAUCAACCCCUACAGCGCCUAACUCUUCUAACAACAGAAGAACUAACAUUCUAAUAUUGUUUUCCUAUUCCGGCCCCAAUUGAUAAGGCCAUUGAACUUUGUAACUGACUUUCGUCAACCUCGUGACUCCAGACCCUACGACCCCCACCCAGCUGGCAAAAACCCGCCCUAACCUGUAACUUCUGUAACUUUAUACUGCUUACCCCAAACCUAUAAAACCACCUCCUACAGCACCGCCCUCUGCUGAUUCUCUUUUCUGACUCAGCCCACCUGCAUCCGGGUGACUAAACAGCCUCGCUGCUCACACAAAGCCUGUUGGGGGGGGCGGUCUCUUCAUUCGGAGCGCGUUUUAACAUUUGGUGCAGAAAACCCGGACAAGGGUACUCGUUUGGGGAGACCAGCCCCCUGUCCCCUCUUCCCCCUCUGGGAAGAGACCCACCUGAGACCUCAACACAUCAGACCAGCUCAGCAGCUCCCGCUUAGCGUGAGGAACAGCCACCUUCAGAUUGGCUAUCUCCUUCUAGUAGAGACAAAGGAGACACUCUAUCCGUGUGGAGCCAGAGGAGACAAGUCUCUCCCUCUAGCUCACAAACUCUGACGUGGUCAUGGACUCUGGAAGACAGUCUUCCCUUGGGGUCUGGUCAAUCGCAGGGACGCCUGCCUUGAUCACUUCCACAUUACAGUCCAAGAAUCAGUCAGGGAUGCCUACUGCAAACCCUGGCAGCUGCUCGCCCCUUCUCCUAGUCUCUACUCUUUUCCUUAAAACUUAUCUCCUUCGCUAGGGGCAGUAUUCUGCCCUCUAUUCCUCAGUCUUCACCUCUAGCCUGUGUCCUAAAAAACCUAAAACCUCUUCAACUGUCGCCCGAUCUGAAACCUAAAAGUCUCAUUUUUUCUGUAAUACAGCCUGCCCUCAAUACAAAUUAGACAAUGGUUCCAAAUGGCCAGAAAACUGUUCACUGGGCCAGGGCGAGCCCACAGCCUGGGGCUCCAUCCUGCUUCAAAUGCCAAAAGCUUGGACAUUGGGCUAACGUAUGCUCACAGCCCAAGGCUCCUUCCAAGCCGUGUCCUGUCCUUGGGGGACCCCACUGGAAAUCGGACUGUAUGGCUCAUAUUACAGCCACUCCCAAGGCUCCUGGAGUUCAAAUCCAAUAUUCUCCAGCUGACUCCUUUCCAGAACUUCUCUGCCUAGCAACUGAAGAUUGACGCUACCAGACUGCUUCGGAAGCCCCCUGGACCAUCACAGACUCUGAGCUUCAGAUACCCAGCCAUAUGAAAACACCCUAGCUGGAAGAUCAGUCCUAGUUAAAAGCCUAACCCCUCGGUCUCUGCAACCUCGGUGGACAGGACCCUUUCUGAUCGUCUACAGCACCCCAACUGCUGUCAGUCUACAAGACCCUCUCCAGUGGGUCCAUCAUUCCAGGAUAAAGCUGUGGCCAUCAGACAAUCGGCCUGACCCCUCGGCGUCCUCCUGGAAGUCGCAAGUUUCUGAGCUGCCCCCAAGCCCACUCAAAGAAGCCCUGAGAAACAUUGCCCCAUCAUCCCUCUGGGCUGGCCUUCCUAAUAUUCCUGUGCCCUCACUCUUCAUUUCUUUUUCCUUUAUAGUACAAAUAUAAAAAGACAGGAAUGUAAGGUCUUUUAGGCUGACUGACGGUGUCAUAUGGUGACCCCCGGAAGACCAUGAAAAGAGGAAGAUGAUCAAUCCCUGCAGCGCCUAACUAACU
Molecule: long non-coding RNA, 1892 nt
Organism: Cebus imitator (Panamanian white-faced capuchin)
Lineage: Eukaryota; Metazoa; Chordata; Mammalia; Primates; Cebidae
Exons: 4
Source: RefSeq, a predicted model, not a curated record